UGGAAAGAUUAUUGUAUUCGACUGUAUGCACGGCGUGAAACAGGGGAUUACACUAUUUUUAAACGAAAGUAAAUCAAUUAACAUAAUCGACUCCU
Molecule: microRNA precursor, 95 nt
Filed under: Nicotiana attenuata
Lineage: Eukaryota; Viridiplantae; Streptophyta; Magnoliopsida; Solanales; Solanaceae
Description: MIR6152 microRNA precursor family
Rfam family: MIR6152 microRNA precursor family
Source: Rfam by way of RNAcentral